This 884-nucleotide ribosomal RNA is filed under the name Dentocorticium portoricense. RNAcentral describes it as "partial large subunit ribosomal RNA". It matches the Rfam family "Eukaryotic large subunit ribosomal RNA", at positions 70 to 938 of the family's 3401-position model. Lineage: Eukaryota; Fungi; Basidiomycota; Agaricomycetes; Polyporales; Polyporaceae. The record is from RNAcentral.
CAGGAUUCCCCUAGUAACUGCGAGUGAAGCGGGAAGAGCUCAAAUUUAAAAUCUGGCGGUCUUUGGCCGUCCGAGUUGUAGUCUGGAGAAGUGCUUUCCGCGCCGGACCGUGUACAAGUCUCUUGGAACAGAGCGUCGUAGAGGGUGAGAAUCCCGUCUUUGACACGGACUGCCGGUGCUUUGUGAUGCGCUCUCGAAGAGUCGAGUUGUUUGGGAAUGCAGCUCAAAAUGGGUGGUGAAUUCCAUCUAAAGCUAAAUAUUGGCGAGAGACCGAUAGCGAACAAGUACCGUGAGGGAAAGAUGAAAAGCACUUUGGAAAGAGAGUUAAACAGUACGUGAAAUUGCUGAAAGGGAAACGCUUGAAGUCAGUCGCGUCGUCCGGGACUCAGCCUUGCUUUUGCUUGGUGCACUUUCCGGUCGACGGGCCAGCAUCGAUUUUGGUCGCCGGAGAAUGGCUUGGGGAAUGUGGCACCCUCGGGUGUGUUAUAGCCCCUUGUCGCAUACGGCGGUCGGGAUCGAGGAUCGCAGCGCGCCUUUAUGGUCGGGGCUUCGGCUCACGUUCGCGCUUAGGAUGCUGGCGUAAUGGCUUUAAACGACCCGUCUUGAAACACGGACCAAGGAGUCUAACAUGCCUGCGAGUGUUUGGGUGGAAAACCCGAGCGCGCAAUGAAAGUGAAAGUUGAGACCUCUGUCGUGGAGGGCAUCGACGCCCGGCGCUGACGUUUACUGAAGCUGCUGCGGUAGAGCAUGUAUGUUGGGACCCGAAAGAUGGUGAACUAUGCCUGAAUAGGGUGAAGCCAGAGGAAACUCUGGUGGAGGCUCGUAGCGAUUCUGACGUGCAAAUCGAUCGUCAAAUUUGGGUAUAGGGGCGAAAGACUAAUCGA